UAGCUGUAAACGAUACUCGCUAGGUGUCGGCCACGGUGCGACCGUUGUCGGUGCCGUAGGGAAGCCGUGAAGCGAGCCACCUGGGAAGUACGGCCGCAAGGCUGAAACUUAAAGGAAUUGGCGGGGAGCACCACAACGGGUGGAGCUUGCGGUUUAAUUGGAUUCAACGCCGGAAAUCUUACCGGGACCGACAGCAACAUGAAGGCCAGGCUGAAGACUUUGCCGGAUUAGCUGAGAGGUGGUGCAUGGCGUAGUCGUGU
Molecule: ribosomal RNA, 260 nt
Filed under: uncultured archaeon
Lineage: Archaea
Description: partial 16S ribosomal RNA
Rfam family: Archaeal small subunit ribosomal RNA
Source: RNAcentral